CUCUCUGGUCUGUAACUGACGCUGAGGCUCGAAAGCGUGGGGAGCGAACAGGAUUAGAUACCCUGGUAGUCCACGCCGUAAACGAUGAGUGCUAGGUGUUAGGUCCUUUCCGGGACUUAGUGCCGCAGCUAACGCAUUAAGCACUCCGCCUGGGGAGUACGACCGCAAGGUUGAAACUCAAAGGAAUUGACGGGGGCCCGCACAAGCGGUGGAGCAUGUGGUUUAAUUCGAAGCAACGCGAAGAACCUUACCAGGUCUUGACAUCCCAGUGACUGCCCUAGAGAUAGGGUUUCCCUUCGGGGCACUGGUGACAGGUGGUGCAUGGUUGUCGUCAGCUCGUGUCGUGAGAUGUUGGGUUAAGUCCCGCAACGAGCGCAACCCUUAUUGUUAGUUGCCAUCAUUGAGUUGGGCACUCUAGCGAGACUGCCGGUGAUAAACCGGAGGAAGGUGGGGAUGACGUCAAAUCAUCAUGCCCCUUAUGACCUGGGCUACACACGUGCUACAAUGGCUGGUACAACGAGUCGCAAGCCGGUGACGGCAAGCUAAUCUCUGAAAGCCAGUCUCAGUUCGGAUUGUAGGCUGCAACUCGCCUACAUGAAGUCGGAAUCGCUAGUAAUCGCGGAUCAGCACGCCGCGGUGAAUACGUUCCCGGGCCUUGUACACACCGCCCGUCACACCACGAGAGUUUGUAACACCCGAAGUCGGUGAGGUAACCGUAAGGAGCCAGCCGCCUAAGGUGGGAUAGAUGAUUGGGGUGAAGUCGUAACAAGGUAGCCGUAUCGGAAGGUGCGGCUGGAUCACCUCCUU
Molecule: ribosomal RNA, 807 nt
Filed under: uncultured bacterium
Lineage: Bacteria
Description: bacterial SSU rRNA
Rfam family: Bacterial small subunit ribosomal RNA
Source: RNAcentral